CUGUGACGUGCUGUCUGCCAGCAUUAUGCAUCGAGUUACAUCUCUUCCCAGUUCCACAUCCCGUGGAUAACUCAAGCGCCAGCCAGCCGUUAAAAUCAUUUCUUCCAAAUGAGGGUGGUGGGACCUGACAUGUGGAUGUUUCCUGUUUCCAAAUCCAAGAAAUGAAGGUAACUGACUCCAGGCUAAAAGAGAAUCAUCCUCAUCUGUGGCAAUCACUUAGCAGUGUCUCUAGCUGUGGCUCUGCAGUGCGUCUGACAACUCAGCUUAUCAGCAAGGCACUGUGGAUCUCAUGGAGAUGCCAGGAUGAAUAAGCAGGGGCCUGACAACUGAGGAAUGGACAAUCUGAAGACCUCAGCUCAUGUGUGACUCCAGAACGGAUGCAGAUGGUCAAGGAGAAAAGGAAACUCUCAUUCACUGAACAUGAUUCCAUGCCAGACAGUGUGCCAUGGAUCCUUGUCAUGGUGGGAGGCAAGUAAGAAUCAUUUUUCCAGAUGCAAGAAAUGGAAACCCAGAGAUUUUGUCUAAUUCUUUAUUAUUAUCUUUAAACCAACCAAGUGAGACAGGUAAAAUUCAAACACAAAUAUCAGCUCUCAAAAUGAUUACUGUUGACUCACCUCACUGGGCUUUGAGUCUGAAGGGCUGGAUUUGAUCUCAGUCUUGAUACUUAUAUGAGAAGACCAUGUAUCUCUCUCUCUCUCUGUGUAUGUAAUAUAUAAAAUAUUAGAUAUUAGCAAAUUGCUGACUUUAAAUCUGAUUCUUAACCUCGCUACCAUUAAGCUCCCUCAAUUAUAAAAUGGCCAUAAUUAAACUGCUUUGUAGCAUGUGUUGCUCAGAAUAAAUUAAAUGUCAUAUGCCUA
Non-coding RNA from Macaca mulatta (Rhesus monkey), 857 nucleotides. The record is from RefSeq and is a predicted model, not a curated record. Lineage: Eukaryota; Metazoa; Chordata; Mammalia; Primates; Cercopithecidae.